This 849-nucleotide transfer RNA is filed under the name uncultured Synechococcus sp. RNAcentral describes it as "partial contains 16S ribosomal RNA, 16S-23S ribosomal RNA intergenic spacer, and 23S ribosomal RNA". The stretch from base 285 to 357 matches the Rfam family "tRNA". Lineage: Bacteria; Bacillati; Cyanobacteriota; Cyanophyceae; Synechococcales; Synechococcaceae. The record is from RNAcentral.
UUGGAUCACCUCCUAACAGGGAGACACACAAUGAUUUUGAUGCCUGAGUACUUUUAUUCUUAGGUCAAAAUCCUGUCACCUUAGGUCGAUCGGUACCUCAGCUUUGAGUUUAUCGAAUUUGUAGCAAUGCAAAUGAGGAUGAAGUCAAUUCUUAGUUCCUAAACUUUGUCUAGGUCACACCCCAAAAGGGAUGAGACUCCUGGGCCAUUAGCUCAGGUGGUUAGAGCGCACCCCUGAUAAGGGUGAGGUCCCUGGUUCAAGUCCAGGAUGGCCCAUUCGGUGUUGGGGGUUUAGCUCAGUUGGUAGAGCGCCUGCUUUGCAAGCAGGAUGUCAGGAGUUCGAGUCUCCUAACCUCCACUGACCGAACUGUAUCCCCAUCUCCAAGAUGUUGGAGUUGAGCUCGAUUGGAGUGUGAUUUAGAUGUGUCCGCUGGAAGACCCCAGCUUCCUGUCAUUCCAAAGACAAGUAAAAAGUUUACUUGUUGACUUUGGUUGAUAAGAUGCUGGUCUCAAAUGAGUUGAUCAAGCAAUUGAUCAAUUGAUUUGAAGUUCUAGCAGAACCUUGACAACUGCAUAGGUAAGUCUGGAAAGAAUAAAGCAUCUCAUGGAUGAUGCGAUGAUUCUUUUCUGUGAUCCGAAAGGAUGAUGGAGUGAUGUUAAUUCUAAAGCAAGAGCCGAGACUCCAGUAUGUUCUUUCAAAUGUGUCGAGCAUUUGAGAGUUUGAUUUUAAUUUUCUAAUUUUAGAAAUUAGAAGAAUCUGGUUUCAACGACAGCAGCGUGCUGGAGAUACAUUGGUCAAGCUACAAAGGGCUCACGGCGGAUACCUUGGCACACAGAGGCGAUGAAGGGA